RNAcentral lists this ribosomal RNA (301 nucleotides) under uncultured bacterium. RNAcentral's name for it is "partial 16S ribosomal RNA". It matches the Rfam family "Bacterial small subunit ribosomal RNA", at positions 509 to 807 of the family's 1533-position model. The record is from RNAcentral.
CAGUCGCCGCGGUAAUACGUAGGGUGCAAGCGUUAAUCGGAAUUACUGGGCGUAAAGCGUGCGCAGGCGGUUUUGUAAGACAGAGGUGAAAUCCCCAGGCUCAACCUGGGAACUGCCUUUGUGACUGCAAGGCUGGAGUGCGGCAGAGGGGGAUGGAAUUCCGCGUGUAGCAGUGAAAUGCGUAGAUAUGCGGAGGAACACCGAUGGCGAAGGCAAUCCCCUGGGCCUGCACUGACGCUCAUGCACGAAAGCGUGGGGAGCAAACAGGAUUAGAUACCCGUGUAGUCCCUGUCUCUUAUAC